RNAcentral lists this ribosomal RNA (845 nucleotides) under Limosilactobacillus fermentum. RNAcentral's name for it is "bacterial SSU rRNA". It matches the Rfam family "Bacterial small subunit ribosomal RNA", at positions 209 to 1041 of the family's 1533-position model. Lineage: Bacteria; Bacillati; Bacillota; Bacilli; Lactobacillales; Lactobacillaceae. The record is from RNAcentral.
CUUCUCGCUAUCACUUCUGGAUGGACCUGCGGUGCAUUAGCUUGUUGGUGGGGUAACGGCCUACCAAGGCGAUGAUGCAUAGCCGAGUUGAGAGACUGAUCGGCCACAAUGGGACUGAGACACGGCCCAUACUCCUACGGGAGGCAGCAGUAGGGAAUCUUCCACAAUGGGCGCAAGCCUGAUGGAGCAACACCGCGUGAGUGAAGAAGGGUUUCGGCUCGUAAAGCUCUGUUGUUAAAGAAGAACACGUAUGAGAGUAACUGUUCAUACGUUGACGGUAUUUAACCAGAAAGUCACGGCUAACUACGUGCCAGCAGCCGCGGUAAUACGUAGGUGGCAAGCGUUAUCCGGAUUUAUUGGGCGUAAAGAGAGUGCAGGCGGUUUUCUAAGUCUGAUGUGAAAGCCUUCGGCUUAACCGGAGAAGUGCAUCGGAAACUGGAUAACUUGAGUGCAGAAGAGGGUAGUGGAACUCCAUGUGUAGCGGUGGAAUGCGUAGAUAUAUGGAAGAACACCAGUGGCGAAGGCGGCUACCUGGUCUGCAACUGACGCUGAGACUCGAAAGCAUGGGUAGCGAACAGGAUUAGAUACCCUGGUAGUCCAUGCCGUAAACGAUGAGUGCUAGGUGUUGGAGGGUUUCCGCCCUUCAGUGCCGGAGCUAACGCAUUAAGCACUCCGCCUGGGGAGUACGACCGCAAGGUUGAAACUCAAAGGAAUUGACGGGGGCCCGCACAAGCGGUGGAGCAUGUGGUUUAAUUCGAAGCUACGCGAAGAACCUUACCAGGUCUUGACAUCUUGCGCCAACCCUAGAGAUAGGGCGUUUCCUUCGGGAACGCAAUGACAGGUGG